Molecule: ribosomal RNA, 465 nt
Filed under: Vreelandella stevensii
Lineage: Bacteria; Pseudomonadati; Pseudomonadota; Gammaproteobacteria; Oceanospirillales; Halomonadaceae
Description: partial 16S ribosomal RNA
Rfam family: Bacterial small subunit ribosomal RNA
Source: RNAcentral
CCUACGGUGCGCAGCAGUGGGGAAUAUUGGACAAUGGGCGAAAGCCUGAUCCAGCCAUGCCGCGUGUGUGAAGAAGGCCUUCGGGUUGUAAAGCACUUUCAGUGGGGAAGAAAGCCUUGGGGCUAAUACCCUCGAGGAAGGACAUCACCCACAGAAGAAGCACCGGCUAACUCCGUGCCAGCAGCCGCGGUAAUACGGAGGGUGCGAGCGUUAAUCGGAAUUACUGGGCGUAAAGCGCGCGUAGGCGGUCUGAUAAGCCGGUUGUGAAAGCCCCGGGCUCAACCUGGGAACGGCAUCCGGAACUGUCAGGCUAGAGUGCAGGAGAGGAAGGUAGAAUUCCCGGUGUAGCGGUGAAAUGCGUAGAGAUCGGGAGGAAUACCAGUGGCGAAGGCGGCCUUCUGGACUGACACUGACGCUGAGGUGCGAAAGCGUGGGUAGCAAACAGGAUUAGAUACCCCGGUAGUC